AUCGCAGAUUAAGGGUCGAAGCAUAUUCGUACACCAUAGUGAGUUGUGUUCAUUGAAACCACAUCAGUGGUUGACGGGCGAGAUUAUUCAGGCACUGAUGCACAUCAAUGCUUUCGCAUUGAAUGUGGCUGACAGAAUUUAUCUAAUGGACCACUACACUGCUGGAGUAAUUCUGACUGGGGACAGGGCGUCUGUACGCCGCCAAAGUUUACCGAAGGUAAACUUUGACAACUAUGAAGCCAUUAUAUCAUUCAUCCACGUCAGAAAUAACCACU
Neoarius graeffei (lesser salmon catfish) is the source of this 275-nucleotide long non-coding RNA. RefSeq lists it as uncharacterized. The transcript is spliced from 3 exons. Lineage: Eukaryota; Metazoa; Chordata; Actinopteri; Siluriformes; Ariidae. The record is from RefSeq and is a predicted model, not a curated record.